RNAcentral lists this ribosomal RNA (305 nucleotides) under uncultured bacterium. RNAcentral describes it as "bacterial SSU rRNA". It matches the Rfam family "Bacterial small subunit ribosomal RNA", at positions 333 to 655 of the family's 1533-position model. The record is from RNAcentral.
UUAGUCCUACGGGGGGCAGCAGUGGGGGAUAUUGCACAAUGGGGGCAACCCUGAUGCAGCGACGCCGCGUGAGCGAUGGAGUAUUUCGGUAUGUAAAGCUCUAUCAGCAGGGAAGAAAAUGACGGUACCUGACUAAGAAGCCCUGGCUAACUACGUGCCAGCAGCCGCGGUAAUACGUAGGGGGCAAGCGUUAUCCGGAUUUACUGGGUGUAAAGGGAGCGUAGACGGCGGUGCAAGCCAGAUGUGAAAGCCCGGGGCUCAACCCCGGGACUGCAUUUGGAACUGUGCUGCUAUAGUGUCGGAGA